UGUUAAGAUGAUGGGAAGUCAUGGAAGAUUCUAGAUAGCCUUGUGCAAAGGUGGUGCCUCUGGUGCAAAGAAUGCUAUCUGUUCUCCUUUGAGUUGAUUCUUACAGUUAAAGAAACAUUCGGGUUUUUGCUUACUCCUUUUAGAUUGCCUCGAAAUCUUGGUUGAUUUUGUGGAAAUUUGGCCAAUUCAACUGGUUAUUAGAUAAAGUAGUAAUGGUAGUCUGGAGAUAUGCCUAACUCUGUGAUAGAAGGAGUAACGUGUUUUGUGUCUGUGGAGAUUUUUCAUUAUUAUUAUUAUUAUUUAUUUCUCUCCCAUGUUCAUAAACACUUGAACAAUGAAAUUCUCAAGUCUGGUGCUCCUACUUAGUGAUGCUUGUGUCUCAUGCUGCUGUGCUGCAUCUAAGCUUAGCUGCAUGAUGUUGUAGAUGCAGAAAUUACUGUAGGUAGCUUUGAAUCCUUAUUAUGUAACCUAGGGAACUGUACCUUAUACCUUUUGAUGUUAAAAGAGCUGUUUUAAAGUAAUGUAAAAGCCAAAGUCUGACUUCUGGCAGCUUUCAAGAAAAACUUCUAUUUGUCCUGAGUGAUCUGGAGAUGCUUAAAAGAAGCACUUUGAGUAAUAUUAUAACUACAAGCAAGUAUUCUAUAAUUAUAUAGAGAGUACAUUACUUAACACAAACUUAAAUGUAGCUAGGCUUCUUUCAUCUGUUGUACCUGGUGUAUUGAAAAAUCAAUAUUAUUUUCAAGGGUUACUUACUUGUGUCUCAGUUCAGUGGCUGAAAUGAUCUCCAAUAAAUUAUUUGCUUGUCCCUAUUCAUCCUGCUUAGUAACCCGGUGCUGCAAGUGUGACUGCAUGAUCAGGCUGCAAGGCAAAGUGACUAAGUCCUCUUCUGCUCAUUUUGGAAUUGAGAGUUCAAGCCACUGUCUCUUCUUGACAAGGAGAUACAGUUAUGUUCCUAACAUAAGUGUCACUUCCAACCUACUGGGUUGCUUCUCAGCUCUUGAACUGUACAUGGAGAUUCCUAAUUCUUCAAGAGAAGAAAUUCUGGAUGCAUGUGUGUGCUCUGACUGUGUCUUCUGA
Molecule: long non-coding RNA, 1077 nt
Filed under: Anas platyrhynchos platyrhynchos (common mallard)
Lineage: Eukaryota; Metazoa; Chordata; Aves; Anseriformes; Anatidae
Description: lncRNA (ENSAPLG00000017726.1)
Source: RNAcentral